Molecule: microRNA precursor, 69 nt
Filed under: Bos taurus (domestic cattle)
Lineage: Eukaryota; Metazoa; Chordata; Mammalia; Artiodactyla; Bovidae
Description: Bta-Mir-708_pre stem-loop
Rfam family: mir-708 microRNA precursor family
Source: RNAcentral
AAGGAGCUUACAAUCUAGCUGGGGGUAAACGACUUGCACAUGAACGCAUCUAGACUGUGAGCUUCUAGA